RNAcentral lists this ribosomal RNA (800 nucleotides) under uncultured Pelagibacteraceae bacterium. Its description in RNAcentral is "bacterial SSU rRNA". It matches the Rfam family "Bacterial small subunit ribosomal RNA", at positions 36 to 884 of the family's 1533-position model. The record is from RNAcentral. Lineage: Bacteria; Pseudomonadati; Pseudomonadota; Alphaproteobacteria; Candidatus Pelagibacterales; Candidatus Pelagibacteraceae.
CUGGCGGCACGCCUAACACAUGCAAGUCGAACGAAGUAGCAAUACUUAGUGGCAGACGGGUGAGGAACAUGUGGGUAUCUGCCCUUUGGCCUGGAAUAACACGAGGAAACUUGUGCUAAUACCGGAUAAGUCUUUACGGAGAAAGCUUUAUGCACCAUUGGAUGAGCCCGCACUUGAUUAGUUUGUUGGUGGGGUAAUGGCCUACCAAGACUUUGAUCAAUAGCUGAUUUGAGAGGAUGAUCAGCCACAUUGGGACUGAGACACGGCCCAAACUCCUACGGGAGGCAGCAGUGGGGAAUCUUGCACAAUGGAGGAAACUCUGAUGCAGCGAUGCCGCGUGAGUGAAGAAGGCCUUUGGGUUGUAAAGCUCUUUCGUCGGGGAAGAAAAUGACUGUACCCGAAUAAGAAGGUCCGGCUAACUUCGUGCCAGCAGCCGCGGUAAUACGAAGGGACCUAGCGUAGUUCGGAAUUACUGGGCUUAAAGAGUUCGUAGGUGGUUGAAAAAGUUGGUGGUGAAAUCCCAGAGCUUAACUCUGGAACUGCCAUCAAAACUUUUCAGCUAGAGUUUGAUAGAGGAAAGCAGAAUUUCUAGUGUAGAGGUGAAAUUCGUAGAUAUUAGAAAGAAUACCAAUUGCGAAGGCAGCUUUCUGGAUCAUUACUGACGCUGAGGAACGAAAGCAUGGGUAGCGAAGAGGAUUAGAUACCCUCGUAGUCCAUGCCGUAAACGAUGUGUGUUAGACGUUGGAAAUUUAUUUUCAGUGUCGCAGCGAAAGCGAUAAACACACCGCCUGGGGAGUACG